GACGAACGCUGGCGGCGUGCUUAACACGUGCAAGUCGAACGGAAAGGCCCUGCUUUUGUGGGGUGCUCGAGUGGCGAACGGGUGAGUAACACGUGAGUAACCUGCCCUUGACUUUGGGAUAACUUCAGGAAACUGGGGCUAAUACCGGAUAGGAGCUCCUGCUGCAUGGUGGGGGUUGGAAAGUUUCGGCGGUUGGGGAUGGACUCGCGGCUUAUCAGCUUGUUGGCGGGGUAGUGGCUUACCAAGGCUUUGACGGGUAGCCGGCCUGAGAGGGUGACCGGCCACAUUGGGCCUGCGAUACGGCCCAGACUCCUACGGGAGGCAGCAGUGGGGAAUAUUGCACAAUGGGCGGAAGCCUGAUGCAGCAACGCCGCGUGCGGGAUGACGGCCUUCGGGUUGUAAACCGCUUUCGCCUGUGACGAAGCGUGAGUGACGGUAAUGGGUAAAGAAGCACCGGCUAACUACGUG
RNAcentral lists this ribosomal RNA (468 nucleotides) under uncultured bacterium. Its description in RNAcentral is "partial 16S ribosomal RNA". It matches the Rfam family "Bacterial small subunit ribosomal RNA", at positions 28 to 507 of the family's 1533-position model. The record is from RNAcentral.